GACGAACGCUGGCGGCGUGCCUAAUACAUGCAAGUAGAACGCUGAAGAGAGGAGCUUGCUCUUCUUGGAUGAGUUGCGAACGGGUGAGUAACGCGUAGGUAACCUGCCUGGUAGCGGGGGAUAACUAUUGGAAACGAUAGCUAAUACCGCAUAAAAUUGAUUAUUGCAUGAUAAUUAAUUGAAAGAUGCAACUGCAUCACUACCAGAUGGACCUGCGUUGUAUUAGCUAGUUGGUGAGGUAACGGCUCACCAAGGCGACGAUACAUAGCCGACCUGAGAGGGUGAUCGGCCACACUGGGACUGAGACACGGCCCAGACUCCUACGGGAGGCAGCAGUAGGGAAUCUUCGGCAAUGGGGGGAACCCUGACCGAGCAACGCCGCGUGAGUGAAGAAGGUUUUCGGAUCGUAAAGCUCUGUUGUAAGAGAAGAACGGGUGUGAGAGUGGAAAGUUCACACUGUGACGGUAUCUUACCAGAAAGGGACGGCUAACUACGUGCCAGCAGCCGCGGUAAUACGUAGGUCCCGAGCGUUGUCCGGAUUUAUUGGGCGUAAAGCGAGCGCAGGCGGUUAGAUAAGUCUGAAGUUAAAGGCUGUGGCUUAACCAUAGUAUGCUUUGGAAACUGUUUAACUUGAGUGCAGAAGGGGAGAGUGGAAUUCCAUGUGUAGCGGUGAAAUGCGUAGAUAUAUGGAGGAACACCGGUGGCGAAAGCGGCUCUCUGGUCUGUAACUGACGCUGAGGCUCGAAAGCGUGGGGAGCAAACAGGAUUAGAUACCCUGGUAGUCCACGCCGUAAACGAUGAGUGCUAGGUGUUAGGCCCUUUCCGGGGCUUAGUGCCGCAGCUAACGCAUUAAGCACUCCGCCUGGGGAGUACGACCGCAAGGUUGAAACUCAAAGGAAUUGACGGGGGCCCGCACAAGCGGUGGAGCAUGUGGUUUAAUUCGAAGCAACGCGAAGAACCUUACCAGGUCUUGACAUCCCUCUGACCGCUCUAGAGAUAGAGUUUUCCUUCGGGACAGAGGUGACAGGUGGUGCAUGGUUGUCGUCAGCUCGUGUCGUGAGAUGUUGGGUUAAGUCCCGCAACGAGCGUAACCCCUAUUGUUAGUUGCCAUCAUUCAGUUGGGCACUCUAGCGAGACUGCCGGUAAUAAACCGGAGGAAGGUGGGGAUGACGUCAAAUCAUCAUGCCCCUUAUGACCUGGGCUACACACGUGCUACAAUGGCUGGUACAACGAGUCGCAAGCCGGUGACGGCAAGCUAAUCUCUGAAAGCCAGUCUCAGUUCGGAUUGUAGGCUGCAACUCGCCUACAUGAAGUCGGAAUCGCUAGUAAUCGCGGAUCAGCACGCCGCGGUGAAUACGUUCCCGGGCCU
RNAcentral lists this ribosomal RNA (1369 nucleotides) under uncultured bacterium. RNAcentral describes it as "bacterial SSU rRNA". It matches the Rfam family "Bacterial small subunit ribosomal RNA", at positions 28 to 1381 of the family's 1533-position model. The record is from RNAcentral.